Molecule: ribosomal RNA, 506 nt
Filed under: uncultured bacterium
Lineage: Bacteria
Description: partial 16S ribosomal RNA
Rfam family: Bacterial small subunit ribosomal RNA
Source: RNAcentral
AUUGAACGCUGGCGGCAGGCCUAACACAUGCAAGUCGAACGGCAGCACAGAAGAGCUUGCUCUUUGGGUGGCGAGUGGCGGACGGGUGAGUAAUGUCUGGGAAACUGCCCGAUGGAGGGGGAUAACUACUGGAAACGGUAGCUAAUACCGCAUAACGUCGCAAGACCAAAGUGGGGGACCUUCGGGCCUCACACCCUCGGAUGUGCCCAGAUGGGAUUAGCUAGUAGGUGGGGUAAUGGCUCACCUAGGCAACGAUCCCGAGCUGGUCUGAGAGGAUGACCAGCCACACUGGAACUGAGACACGGUCCAGACUCCUACGGGAGGCAGCAGUGGGGAAUAUUGCACAAUGGGCGCAAGCCUGAUGCAGCCAUGCCGCGUGUAUGAAGAAGGCCUUCGGGUUGUAAAGUACUUUCAGCGGGGAGGAAGGCGGUGAGGUUAAUAACCUUGCCGAUUGACGUUACCCGCAGAAGAAGCACCGGCUAACUCCGUGCCAGCCGCCGCCGUAA